UCAACAACGGAUCUCUUGGUUCUGGCAUCGAUGAAGAACGCAGCGAAAUGCGAUAAGUAGUGUGAAUUGCAGAAUUCAGUGAAUCAUCGAAUCUUUGAACGCACAUUGCGCCCCUUGGUAUUCCAUGGGGCAUGCCUGUUCGAGCGUCAUUUGU
RNAcentral lists this ribosomal RNA (154 nucleotides) under fungal sp. agrAP5713. RNAcentral's name for it is "5.8S ribosomal RNA". It matches the Rfam family "5.8S ribosomal RNA". Rfam says of the family: 5.8S ribosomal RNA (5.8S rRNA) is a component of the large subunit of the eukaryotic ribosome. It is transcribed by RNA polymerase I as part of the 45S precursor that also contains 18S and 28S rRNA. The record is from RNAcentral. Lineage: Eukaryota; Fungi.